UGGGGAAUUUUGGACAAUGGGCGCAAGCCUGAUCCAGCAAUGCCGCGUGAGUGAAGAAGGCCUUCGGGUUGUAAAGCUCUUUUGUCAGGGAAGAAACGGUUGUUCCUAAUACGGAUGGCUAAUGACGGUACCUGAAGAAUAAGCACCGGCUAACUACGUGCCAGCAGCCGCGGUAAUACGUAGGGUGCAAGCGUUAAUCGGAAUUACUGGGCGUAAAGCGUGCGCAGGCGGUUAUAUAAGUCAGAUGUGAAAUCCCCGGGCUCAACCUGGGAACUGCAUUUGAGACUGUAUGGCUAGAGUGUGUCAGAGGGGGGUAGAAUUCCACGUGUAGCAGUGAAAUGCGUAGAUAUGUGGAGGAAUACCGAUGGCGAAGGCAGCCCCCUGGGAUAACACUGACGCUCAUGCACGAAAGCGUGGGGAGCAAACAGGAUUAGAUACCCUGGUAGUCCACGCCCUAAACGAUGUCUACUAGUUGUCGGGACUUAAUUGUCUUGGUAACGCAGCUAACGCGUGAAGUAGACCGCCUGGGGAGUACGGUCGCAAGAUUA
RNAcentral lists this ribosomal RNA (548 nucleotides) under uncultured bacterium. RNAcentral describes it as "bacterial SSU rRNA". It matches the Rfam family "Bacterial small subunit ribosomal RNA", at positions 355 to 896 of the family's 1533-position model. The record is from RNAcentral.